GGCAAGGGGAAAGGCCCUGAGCAGUAACUGAGGAGGCCAGGAAGGGCCAAAAGUUAUAUUCUCACCGUUUCAGAGAUGAAGCCAGGUGGGCAAAGUCAGUACCAAGACUCAGGCCUAAAUCCAUCCUUGCUUGGGGUAGGGC
This is a long non-coding RNA of Dipodomys ordii (Ord's kangaroo rat), 142 nucleotides long. RefSeq lists it as uncharacterized. The transcript is spliced from 3 exons. The record is from RefSeq and is a predicted model, not a curated record. NCBI's taxonomy places the organism in Eukaryota, Metazoa, Chordata, Mammalia, Rodentia, Heteromyidae.